This 76-nucleotide transfer RNA is filed under the name Erysipelothrix sp. RNAcentral's name for it is "tRNA-Lys". It matches the Rfam family "tRNA". From Rfam's summary of the family: Transfer RNA (tRNA) molecules are approximately 80 nucleotides in length. The record is from RNAcentral. Lineage: Bacteria; Bacillati; Bacillota; Erysipelotrichia; Erysipelotrichales; Erysipelotrichaceae.
GACUCGUUAGCUCAGUCGGUAGAGCAACUGACUUUUAAUCAGUGGGUCGCAGGUUCGAUUCCUGCACGAGUCACCA